Callithrix jacchus (white-tufted-ear marmoset) is the source of this 1572-nucleotide long non-coding RNA. Lineage: Eukaryota; Metazoa; Chordata; Mammalia; Primates; Cebidae. The record is from Ensembl.
CUCCCCACCUCCCCCUCCCACUUGCCCUCCCCUUUUCCCCCCAAUAGACCCCAGUGUUUAGUACUCCCCUCUCUGUGUCCAUGUGUUCUCAUUUUUCAUCACCCGCCUAUGAGUGAGAAUAUGCGGUGUUUCAUUUUCUGUUCUUGUGUCAGUUUGCUGAGGAUGAUGUUCUCCAGAUUCAUCCAUGUCCCUACAAACGACACAAACUCAUCAUUUCUGAUUGCUGCAUAAUAUUCCAUGGUGUAUAUGUGCCACAUUUUCCCAAUCCAGUCUAUCAUCAAUGGGCAUUUGGGUUGAUUCCAGGUCUUUGCUAUUGUAAACAGUGCUGCAAUGAACAUUCAUGUGCAUGUGUCCUUAUAGUAGAACGAUUUAUAGUCCUUUGGAUAUAUACCCAGUAAUGGGAUUGCUGGGUCAAAUGGAAUUUCUAUUUCUAAGGCCUUGAGGAAUCGCCACACCGUCUUCCACAAUGGUUGAACUAAUUUACACUCCCACCAACAGUGUAAAAGUGUUCCUUUUUCUCCACAUCCUCUCCAGCAUCUGUUGUCUCCAGAUUUUUUAAUGAUCGCCAUUCUAACUGGCGUGAGAUGGUAUCUCAAUGCGGUUUUGAUUUGCAUCUCUCUGAUGACCAGUGACGAUGAGCAUUUUUUCAUAUGAUUGUUGGCCUCAUAUAUGUCUUCUUUCAUAAAGUGUCUGUUCAUAUCCUUUGCCCACUUUUGAAUGGGCUUGUUUGUUUUUUUCCUGUAAAUCUGUUUGAGUUUUGUAGAUUCUGGAUAUUAGCCCUUUGUCAGAUGGGUAGAUUGCAAAAAGUUUUGCCCAUUUUGUUGGUUGCUGGUUCACUCUAUUGAUAGUUUCUUUUGCUGUAUAGAAGCUCUUAAGUUUAAUUAGAUUCCAUUUGUCUAUUUUGGCUUUUGUUUUUGCCAUUGCUUUUGGUAUUUUACUCAUGAAGUCCCUGCCCAUGCCUAUAUCCUGAAUGGUAUUGCCUAUGUUUUCUUCUAGAGUUUUUAUGGUGUUAGGUUUCAUGUUUAAAUAUUUACUCCAUCUGGAGUUAAUAUUUGUAUAAGGUGUAAAGGAAGGGGUCCAGUUUCAGCUUUUGCAUAUGGCUAGCGAGUUUUCCUAACACCAUUUAUUAAAUAGGGCAUCCUUUCCCCAUUGCUUGUUUUUGUCAGGUUUGUCAAAGAUCAGAUGGUUGUAGUUGUGUGGUGUUCUUUCUGAGGCCUCUGUUCUGUUUCAUUUGUCUAUAUCUCUGUUUUGGUACCAGUACCAUGCUGUUUUGAUUACAGUAGCCUUGUAACAUAGAUUGAAGUCAGGUAAUGUGAUGCCUCCAGCUUUGUUUUCUGCUUAGGAUUGUCUUGGCUAUGCAGGCUCUUUUUUGGUUCCAUAUGAAGUUUAAGGUGUUUUUUUCCAAUUCUGUGACGCUUUUCAAAUUGAGUGCUUUAUUAAUUUACAAUCGGUAAUUACUUGCUUACAAUAAAGGAAACAUUGCUUUGCAUAUAUAAAUAUGUUAUUAGAUUUGAAUUCCAAAUAGCUUCUAAUGAGUAGGCUCCCAUACAUCACAAUGUUACAACUGAUUUA